This 329-nucleotide unclassified non-coding RNA is filed under the name soil metagenome. Its description in RNAcentral is "partial contains 5.8S ribosomal RNA, internal transcribed spacer 2, and large subunit ribosomal RNA". The stretch from base 1 to 120 matches the Rfam family "5.8S ribosomal RNA", at positions 35 to 154 of the family's 154-position model. The record is from RNAcentral.
GAUGAAGAACGUAGCGAAAUGCGAUAAGUAGUGUGAAUUGCAGAAUUCAGUGAAUCAUCGAAUCUUUGAACGCACAUUGCGCCCCUUGGUAUCCCGAGGGGCAUGCCUGUUCGAGCGUCAUUUCACCACUCAAGCCUGGCUUGGUGUUGGGCGAUGUCCUCUUUGGGGACGCGCCUCGAAACGCUCGGCGGCGUGGCACCGGCUUUAAGCGUAGCAGAAUCUUUCGCUUUGGAAGUCGGGGCCCCGUCUGCCGGAAGACCUGCUCGCAAGGUUGACCUCGGAUCAGGCAGGGAUACCCGCUGAACUUAAGCAUAUCAAUAAGCGGAGGA